CAUGCCACAAGAAGUGUUUCAUCUUGCCGUGAACUUGUAUUUCUACGCAUGGCUCUGUAGGCUUGUGAUAUUCGGUUCGAGAACAUAUUAUUGGUUUUGUUGAAUGAUACACAUUCUAAGUAGUUCAUAUCCAUAUCUAACUGAGUAAAUCCUAGAUUUCGUGUGAUUUCAAGCAUAUCCAUCUAAAGAAAAAUGAACUGCUACGUCUCAGCCCAAGAAUCAAUAGUAUAUCUUUAUGGUGGAAAAACUCCAGUAAAAAAAGAAAGAAUCCGACUCUUUGAUAUCAUUCAUGAUAAAAAAAAAAGUGAACAAAAGAUUGAGAUUGUUUGUAAACGACGCGGUUUCAAGUUAUAUCUGAGUAUAAAUUUAUGAUUUAUCUAAAAAGAUCUAGUUCAACUUAAGUCAUCCAUACGGGUGAAAGUGGUAAGCAAUUAUCAAUAUAUUGAGAUCAUAUCAAAUUACUUUGUCACAUUGUUUUCAUUACCUUAAUUUUCGAGAAUACAACAAAUUAACAUAAGGAAUUUCCUAUCUUUUUAUUAGUACAAUGAUAUUUUUUAAAGUAAAUAUUUUAAAAUGAAAUUGACAAAAAAUUUGAGACAAAGCUCAUAUGUGUUGAUACUCAAAUGUAUUGAUAAAAGAGAAAUCUUAAAGUUUUUGAUUCAUCUACUUCUUAUGUAUAUUGAUUUCUAUAUCUUAAACGCUAUUGGCAGACCGAGAAAAAAAAAACAAAAACGCUACUGGUAGAAGUGAAGUUGGGUCCAAUGGACAGAAAAAACCGAAAUACUUUUCUAACAUGGGAACAUAAGCAAGUCUUUGCACAAAAGAAGAAAAGUAUAAGUCUUUCUACCGUGUCUUGGCGGGCAAGUGUAAGGACAAAAUUAGUUUUGAAAUAGUAAAAAAUCAUCAUCAAUGAUAAUGAUGUAACCAAUGAAGAUGUAUAAAUAAAUCAGCUCAUAUCUUGCACAAAAGUCUAUAUAAAUCAUCUCUUCUCUUUACUUCUGUUUACAUCUAGUCUUUACGGUUUCUAUAGAACAUAUCUUCAACUAACUAAUGGCUAACAAGCUCUUGUAUUUUGUAUUGAUGGCGGUGUUUCUACUGUUUAGUGUGUCCAAAAUCUGGUGGGAAACUCCUAAUAAACGGCGAGUUUACUCGACAAUGGAAUUGGUCGAUAAACUUUUUAAAUCGGGAAAAGCGUUACUUCAUAUCGGAUUCGAUGAAGAUCAAGAGUACUUUAAAUCUUAUUUUCUGCUAUAGACUAUUACAUCAGGUUAGCAUGUGUUAUAUAUGGUUUUCUCAAUGGCUAUUGUUGUGUUUUUUGUUUAUAAUAAAAGUAAAACAGUUAUGUAAUCAAAGUCAAAACUAUAUAUGCAUCAUGGAUAAAAUGGUUAAAAGAAAUCUUCGACAUGCCGAACGUUUCAGACAUGUAUUUCAUAGGACAAUUCGGAAUAGUACAGUCAGACGUGUAUUCUAAUCAGAGGCGGAUCCAUGUGCAUAGAAAGAAUGUCAGCUGACACACCUUAAAUAUAAAAAAUAGGUUUGUUACUUUUAAAGAAUAUAAAUUCUUCAACUCUGAUGGCUAUUUUCUUUAUGGCUGACACCCCUUAACCUGAGUUCUAUCCCAUUUGACACUUUAUUUUUAUUUCCUUUUAUCUCUUCUUUUACUUACACAAUUAAAGCUCAUUAUUUAUGACCCAGAUUUAAAUAAGUUUUCGGUCCGCCACUUAUGGUAGUAGAAUUAUCGGCGGUAAAAUAGUCUAUAUAAUAUUUUUGUUGUUGUAAUAACAUAAUUAAAUUAGAGAUUUAAAAAAAAUGAAAGUCAUCAAAACUAUAACCACAGAAACGGGUCAUGUGUCGGCAGAUUCAACUUGGGUUAAUAAGCUGGCGAACUGAAAGCGCAGCCAAGACUCCUAGUUUUGCUCUGGCGAAUACUUUAAAACACAUUUUCUGUAUAUUUUGAAAGUUUUCUGUUCAAAUAAGCUUUUGUAAGAUACUACUACUAUGCAAGGAAAUAUUCGAACAUAUCUUAGCAAUACAUAGUUGAGUUAAAUAAGUAUUUGCUCGAUUACCGAGACUAAUGCGUCCGCCAAACACUCGUGCUUUGCUUUUAUAGCAUGUUGCCAAUUUGUCAGACAAUGUUUAUUGACUAAUCAUUAUUUUUAUAAUUUUCUAGAAGAAUCAAAAGUUCUUAAUGUUUUACUUUGCUUUUAUGAGAAUGAUAUACUGUAUGUUUUCUUUUAUAAUUUUUUUUGGUGCAAAUUUUCUUCAAAAAUUGUUUAUUCGUAAUUCUACAUUUUUAAUUUUAAUUUGUUUUCAUGAAAAUAACACAGUAUAUAAAUACUUAUUUGCUAUUUCUAAAUCGAUAUGCUUUUGUUCUGCCAUCAUACUUAAAUUAUUACCAGAAUUUACGAUGGUAAAAAUUGAUUUUUAAUCUCCGUGCAUGCUUCCCAACCAAAUAUUCUCUUGUUUCUGACUGUACAAAUGUAUUUGCUUUACAUUAUUUAAAAAAUCUGACAAUAAUAGCAAUACACAAUAUAUGCGUUUUUAAUGCAUAUAAGAUUUAUUAAUUAAAAAAAAACUGGUUACAUGGUUUAGUUUAUGCUGCUUAUCGACGUGGGAACAUACUUGUAAUAUACCUUAUAUAUUUGGUCGUCCGUUUAAUCAAAAUUAUGCCCCCCCCUUGUUUUUGUUUGUGUUGAAGAUACGUAUUGUCAAUGUAUAAGAGAGUUAGAACAUAAUUAUGACUCUUGAGACUUGUUAUAUUUUAUUAUAAGUAACCCAAAACAUAAGCAAGAGAAUAUUGAUCGCGCGUGGAUAACGACACAACGUAUAAGAAACAUGAGACAUGUCACAAUCACUAUGAAAGUUUUCCAAUCAGAACUCGAGUAAACGCAGAUGAUUUUAUGUAUAAUAUACUUUCAAAAAUUAAUUAUACUAAAGCAUUUCUUUUGGGAUCUGAGUUUUAAUUAGACUGCCUGAAAUUUCCAUGUUGAAUGACAUUCUUUCAAACUGCAAGCGGUGGAGUUUCUAGACUUUGAAAGGGAAAAUAAAGCAUCUCGGUCGACGUAUACAAAGUACAGAAACAUUGUACACUGUGGGUAACUCGAAGCUUUACAUAUGUUUGAAGCACUCUGAUUAUAAUGAUAACUAGUAGGACGGGACAAAAUAUCUCGAACCGAAGAACAUACCCGAAACCGAUUAAAAAACCAGGGUUCCGAACCGAUCGGACCGGAGAAAAUAACCGAAUGGGUUCUAAAUUGAUGUAUCCGACGAAUUGGUACCCAACUCGAUCCGAACCGAGAAUCGAAUGAGUAUUCGAAGAUAUCCGAAAUGUAAAUUUAUAUUUACAAAUAUUAUUUAUAAUUAUAUGUAUAAUUGUUUUAAUAAUUAAAAUUAAAAUUAUAAAUUAAAUAUAUUAGUUAUUUUCAAUACUUUUGUGUAUUUUCGGAUAAAAUAUGAUAGUUUGGAUAAAAAUACUCAAACAAAACCGUAUCUAAUGAGUAUUUUUGGUUAUUUUUUGGUACAUUUGGGUAGUUUUGAUACACAAUAUCUGAAUCGAAUUAGAUAAUAUUGUUACUUUGGGUACUAUUAUCCGAACUCGUUUCAGAUACAUUGGUUAUUCGGUUAUUUUCAGGUUCCUUUACAUCAGAACCGAACCCACCCGGACCCGGGAGGACCCGGCCCAAAAUUUUGUACUACCCGAACAAGGCCUAAUUUCCAAACCCGAAAAACCCGAUACCCGAAAGAACCGACCUGUACCCGAACGGGUGUUCGAAUGCCCAUGCCUAAUAACUAGAGAUUGAUCCCGCUCACCCGAGCGGAUGUUUGUUUUUACUUUUUUAUAAGUAAAUUUUUGUUUUGUAUAAAUGGUAUAUAUAUAUUUAUAAUUAAACGUAUAUGUUGAUGGUUGACACGUGAAACCGCACAAGUAUUUAUUUUUACGUUUUUAUAAGUAAUUUUUUGUAUAAAUGGUAUAAUAUACGUUAUGAAUCAAUCAAAAUAGUUGAGGUAUAUGUUCCCUAUUUUUAGUCGUCUGCGUAAAUCAAUAGUAUUGUGAUACUGUUAUGAACAUAAUUUUUUGCUUAGCUAGAUUAUAGAAAGUAUUACCUAAAGGCUAAAUCUAUCGUACAUGGUUUCAUUUAGAAUAAGAUAGAUUAUAGAAAGUAGUUUAGACCCAAAUAUAUAUAUAUAUAUAUAAAGAUUACGAUUUAAUUAACAAAUGAUUGAGUUUUUAAUAAAUAGAGAAUAUUCUUAAAUAUUUUUGUGAUAAAAAUUGAUUAUGUUUGUUAUUUACGAUUUUACAUAAAUAGCAAAAUUUUGUAAAAUCGCGAAUUAUGAUUUUGAAGAAUGUAUGGAUGGAUGUUUUUCCUUGUUAGUUAUAAUAAGGGUAACCUAAAUGUAGAUUAGUAUAUAGUACUUAAAGCUUUAAAACACAUAUAUAAAGAAUAAUAAAUUUGAUAAACAUUUUUUAAAUGCAAAACAUAUAUGUGUGAAGAAGAAGAGUUACAUGGGUGGACAUUUGCAAAGAAAUUCAGUUUUAUUAGGAAGAAUAGUUUGGAGGAGGUUAGCAAAUCUUAAAAUGUAAAAUACAAAUUUUAUAUAAAAAAUGUAAAUACAAAAUGAGAAAACAUAUACUAAUAAGGCAGAAACUUUAAUCAUUCUUCUGUUUUGUUGGAGUGCAAGAUUUGAACCGAUUGCAGGGUCGAGUGAUUGCUAUUUUAAUUUGUAUUUACAUUUGUUGUGUUAUGAAUCUGUGUAUUGUGAAGUUGUAAUGGUCGAGAUAUAUAAAUUGAAGGUGUAUUGAGAUGAUGGCCAUCUAGCUUUUGAAAACAACUUACAAUAAUAUUUUAUUUGUCGACAUAAAAUUUUAAUAUUACUAUAUGUUAGUACAAAAAUUAACCAAAUUGUUUAUGUAUUAGAUUUAGGAUAUUAUUUGUCAAAUUAGGAAAACCAAUAAUUGCUUAAAUUUAGGUUUAGUCAUUACUCCAAUGGCAUAUAUCUGUAAAUAAUUUGUAAGUCUUAGAGUUAAUUAUAAAUUGUACUUAUGUUUUAAUAGAUUAGAUGAUGGUGGUUGACCCGUGAAACCGCACAAGUAUUUGUUUUUACGUUUUUAUAAGUAAUUUUUUGUAUAAAUGGUAUAAUAUAUGUAAUAAAUCAAUCAAAAUAGUUGAGGUAUAUGUUCCCUAUAUUUAGUCGCCUGCCUAAAUAUAUACCAUUGAUGAUACUGUUAUGAAUAUAAUUUUUUGCUUAGCUAGAUUAUAGAAAGUAUCACCUAAAGGUUAAAUCUAACGUACAUGGUUUCAUUUAGAAUAAGAUAGAUUAUAUAAAGUAGUUUAGACCCAAAUAUAUAGAAAGAUUACGAUUUAAUUAACAAAUGAUUGAAUUUUAAUAAAUAGAGAUAUUCUUAAAUAUUGUUGUGAUAAAAUUUUAUUAUAUUUGUUAUUUACGAUUUUAAAUAAAUAGCAAACUUUUGUAACAAUAAAAUCGUCAAUUAUGAUUUUGAAGAAUGUGUGGAUGGAUGUUUUUCCUUGUUAGUUAUAAUAAGGGUAACCUAAAUGUAUAGAAGUAUAUAGUACUUAAAGCUUUAAAACACAUAUAAAGAAUAAUAAAUUUGAUAAACUAAAUCACUCGGAUAUAUAUUAAAAUUUAUUUUGAUAAUGAAAUUGAUUGUGUAUUAGAUUUAGGAUAUUAUUUGUCAAAUUAGGAAAAACAAUAAUUGCUUAAAUUUAGGUUUAGGUUUAGUUAUGAUUCCAAUGGCAUAUAUUUGUAAAUAAGUUGUAAGUCUUAGAGUUAAUUCUAAAUUGUACUUAUGUUUUAAUAGAUCAGAUGAGAUAAUGACUAUAUAAGUGCAUUUAUUAGCUCGAUCUGUUGGAAAUGUAAUGUUUUCAUGUUGUUUUUUCUUUUGAACGAAAUGUUUUAGGUGGGCUUAUUGAAUUAGGGAUUUGAGAAGGUUUUUAAGAUUUUAAGAUUUAGAGGGUUUUGUUGAAUUUAAGGAUUUUGAUGGAGGAUUUUGUUGUUGAUGGAGAUUUAAAAGGAGAACUAAAUUUUGAUCCGCGCUUAGAAAGCGCAGAUUUAUUUUUGAAAUUAAAUAAAAUUUUAAUGAAUUUCUAAAUAAUAUAAUGCAUAGAUCUGAUAACAUUUAUCGUAGAACGAACCAUACCAAACUGAAAAAACGAAACCAACAUUAAAAUGAAUUUCAUAAAUAGCCAAACAGAUUAUAUAUCUUUGAAACCGAAAAACUGAAACCGAACCGAUAACCAAAUGGGUACGUGAAUUUUUGGAAUACAAAUGAUAUAACUACAAAUACUAAUUACAUUUAAUUUCUAGGUAAACAAAUUUUAUGAAAAUAUUGUUUAUUAACUGAAUUACCUAGAUAGUUUGUAUUCAAAAUAUUAAAAAUUGACUGAAUUGUCCGAUAUUUUUAUCCAAAAACUUGAGUUAUCCAAUAUUUAAACUGAAAACCCCAAAUUAUCUAUUUAAACUGAAAACCCCAAAUUAUCUGAUAUUUUAUCUAUAAAUUCAAAACUACCCGAAAAAAAGAAUCAAACUGGAAUCGAUUUGAACCCAAUUUUUUUGUGUUGGAAUCGGUUGGAAAUGUAAUGUUUUCGUGUUGUUUUUUCUUUUGAACGAAAUGUUUUAAGGUGGGCUUAUUGAAUUAGGGAUUUGAGAAAUUUUUCAAGAUUUUAAGAUUUAGAGGGUUUUGUUGAAUUUAAGGAUUUUGAUGGAGGGUUUUGUUGAAAUACAAGGAUUUUGAUGGAGAUUUAAAAGGAGAAUUUGGUAGGAAUGGUAAAAUCUUUUAAAAUUACUUUAACAAAAACUUAAACCAUUAAACUAUAAAAUCGUAAUCUGAUUGUUAGGUUUAUAUGAAAACAUAUAUAUCAAUGAUAUUACUAUACAAUAUAAAGAAAUAUAGUCAUGUAACGAUUGCGCGUACAGUGAAAAAAAAUUAAAACAUUCUUUGAUAGGUUGCAGAGUUCAAACAAAAGUCCAACUCUUCUACUUCUCCUCUGUUGUGUGCUAUGUGCUCCUUCACAUCUUCUCUCUGUCGGUAAUCCACCAAUAAGAGGAUUGCCUAUGUAGUUUUUUUUUCUCGUUGAAGGUGCUAAAUUGUGUGCUCUGCCUAAGACAAUUCUUCAGGGAAAUCAAGACGGAAUUCUUCAGGGUUUUCCUCUUUAGUCCCAAUCCACCAUGAUUUUCAUGUUAUCAAAAUAGUCAUCGCAUAAGACGUUUUUACCACCUCUAAAGAAUUGCAGAGUCAAGUAUCUGUUCUUCGGAUACAAGAUCGUUCCAAAAAGCUUCAUUCGACCCUGGGGGAAGCUGAGAUAGAGGACGGGGUUUUGGUAGAGAGUUGAUCGAGAUCGCGGAUGGUGACGCCGGAGAUGGGAGCGAGGAGACCAGGGAUGGGGAAGAGGAAGCGGUUCUAGAGCUAUGACGUGCGGAUGAUGUUGGAGCCGUAGUGCUUCUCUCUCAUCCGUUCUCUUGUCCCAAAUAUGAAAUAAUUGUUUUUCUUAAAUUCUAUUUCUUUAGAUGGUAUUUUUUUAUUGGAUUUGAAGAGUAAAUCAUAGUUUUUAAUAAUCUAAAAUAACUUCUGAUGAAUCUCAGUGAUGAAAUCCAUAUUUCACAAUAAGAGGUGAUUUAGUAGGGUUUUUAUAAAUGCUACAUUCAAUAAGGGAGGAUUUGUAGAACUUUUCA
This is a long non-coding RNA of Brassica napus (rape), 7689 nucleotides long. RefSeq lists it as uncharacterized. The record is from RefSeq and is a predicted model, not a curated record. The transcript is spliced from 2 exons. NCBI's taxonomy places the organism in Eukaryota, Viridiplantae, Streptophyta, Magnoliopsida, Brassicales, Brassicaceae.